Molecule: ribosomal RNA, 380 nt
Filed under: Salmonella enterica subsp. enterica serovar Malstatt
Lineage: Bacteria; Pseudomonadati; Pseudomonadota; Gammaproteobacteria; Enterobacterales; Enterobacteriaceae
Description: partial 23S ribosomal RNA
Rfam family: Bacterial large subunit ribosomal RNA
Source: RNAcentral
GAAACAUCUAAGUACCCCGAGGAAAAGAAAUCAACCGAGAUUCCCCCAGUAGCGGCGAGCGAACGGGGAGGAGCCCAGAGCCUGAAUCAGCAUGUGUGUUAGUGGAAGCGUCUGGAAAGGCGCGCGAUACAGGGUGACAGCCCCGUACACAAAAGCGCAUGUGCUGUGAGCUCGAUGAGUAGGGCGGGACACGUGGUAUCCUGUCUGAAUAUGGGGGGACCAUCCUCCAAGGCUAAAUACUCCUGACUGACCGAUAGUGAACCAGUACCGUGAGGGAAAGGCGAAAAGAACCCCGGCGAGGGGAGUGAAAAAGAACCUGAAACCGUGUACGUACAAGCAGUGGGAGCACCCUUUGGGGUGUGACUGCGUACCUUUUGUAU